Vespa crabro (European hornet) is the source of this 1760-nucleotide long non-coding RNA. RefSeq lists it as uncharacterized. Lineage: Eukaryota; Metazoa; Arthropoda; Insecta; Hymenoptera; Vespidae. The record is from RefSeq and is a predicted model, not a curated record. The transcript has 2 exons.
AUAUAUCGUCGUGAUUGUCACGUUUCGUUAGAAUCGUUAGUAUAUUGUCGUGAUAUUCUCGCCUGGUGACUGACAACUACUGGCUACUACUAUCGUACUCUCUUUAGAGUAGAAGCGAGCGUACAGACACGUUAUUCGAUGGGCACCGACGUUCUCCACUCUUCUUCUUUGGUCGAGCUAGCUGGCACCCAAUGGGCCACCCAUUCGCCACCCAUUGAUAUAUAGUAACACGCAUCGACGUCGAUCACGUUACUCGAAGCGAUCUUGCGUCGAUUCUUCCUCUUCUUUCCUUCUCUCCUCUCCUCUUUUCACUCCCUACUUCCUGUCACUCUUUCCUGUUAUAAUAUAGAGACGUUUGUUUUAAGCCUUAUGCAGUGUUAAAAGGUUUUGACAGUUUGUUGCUAUCUAAACGUUUUGACCUGAGUUCGCUCGAUGACUCAUCAGUAGGCCUGAUGAGCGGACCCUACUUUAAACGUACUCAAUAUAUUCUCGUUAUAGGACAAACAGAUCACUAGAACCUAUAUAUAUAUAUACCUGAUAUAUAUAUAUAUAUAUAUAUAUAUAUAUAUUGUAACGCUACAACGUAUAGUGCUUUCGAGGGAACGUGCGAUUUUUAUUAGAAUCUGCGACGCCUAGCGGCAGACAGGACGAAGUCUGCAUACCUACAAUGAGGGUGUUACUUUCAUGGUUACCGUUAGUUCGGACAUGGCGCGAGAUUCAUCGAUACAUGCUUUUUAUAUAAAUCGAAUUUCUCACAUUUACUAGGAUAUAUAUCAUGGUUUUCAUAUAGUUAAAAAAAAAAAAAAAAUUCGAGAUAAUUUAUUUUUAAUUAUUAGAUUAGUUUAUUUUGGAGUUAUUAAUAUUUAAAAGAAAUAAUUUCUUAUUAUUAUUCAAUGUUCUCGAGAACGAUCUUUCGCUAUUAGAAUCUUAGCUAAAACAAUGUUUCAAAUUUUUAAUUGGAAUAGAUAUCGUAAAUUUGAGUUGCGUAGAUUGAAAUUCGUUAUCGCCAUGGAACCGGAUUUCCCUUCGUUAUUCAUUAAAGAAGAAAAAAAAAAAAUAAGAAUAAAUUAGAAUUUCGAUAAACUUUUCUAUUUUAUUAUCAAAUUAAGCUUAUUUGUUUUUUUUUUUUUUUUUUUAAUUAGAAGACAUAUGUACGUUCUACUAAAGUAAAAAUGGAAUGAGUAUAUUUUUAUCGUUAAUACUCGGCCGAGUUUUCACGAUCAAUCUCAUCCACAAUCGGUGAACUAUAUACGAAUAGUCUUCUAAAAAUAUCGCGAACGGAUCUCUUUCUCGUUUGAAUUAAUAAUUACAUUAGUUCUUUUUUUUCUAUUGUUUUGUUUUUUUCUUAUACGGAAAAUCUAAUUUUCUAGCUGAUGUAUAAAUAAUUUGGAUACAAAAUUUAAUUUGAAAUUUGUUUAAUAGUGUUGAUAAUAAAGGAUUGAUCAAUCCUUUACAUUAUUAUUAAUUAGUUGAUAUUUUUAGCGAGGUAGAUUCAUCAAUAUUUUACUUUAUACAGAGAAUAUAUAUAUAUAUAUAUAUAUGUGUGUGUGUGUGUGUGUGUAUAAAAUUGUGUAGUUAUGUAGAUAUGUACUUGCAAUAGAAGAUACGAAUAUAUGUACAUACAUAAGUGCAUGCACGAUCAUUGAUGAGUGAACGCUUUUUGAAUGAGGAUUGGAAACGAACGAAGCGCCAUUUGCUCGAUUACCAUUCACAGAGACUGUACCAUUGGAUGAUAGUUCAGUAAACAUUAUCUUUAGAUA